ACGGGAAACCGGAGACUAAUACCGGAUAAGAUAUCGAACCGCAUGGUUCGAUAGUGAAAGAUGGUUUUGCUAUCACUUAUAGAUGGACCCGCGCCGUAUUAGCUAGUUGGUGAGGUAACGGGCUCACCAAGGCAACGAUACGUAGCCGACCUGAGAGGGUGAUCGGCCACACUGGAACUGAGACACGGUCCAGACUCCUACGGGAGGCAGCAGAG
This 215-nucleotide ribosomal RNA is filed under the name uncultured Staphylococcus sp. Its description in RNAcentral is "partial 16S ribosomal RNA". It matches the Rfam family "Bacterial small subunit ribosomal RNA", at positions 149 to 354 of the family's 1533-position model. Lineage: Bacteria; Bacillati; Bacillota; Bacilli; Caryophanales; Staphylococcaceae. The record is from RNAcentral.